UAUGAUCUAGUACUACACAUUUGAACUGCAGAAGUGCGAAGGGUUCAUUACAUCAGUUAGAACUUACCCGAUGAGAUCUUGCUACAAGGAUAACUGUGGUAAUUCUAGACCUAAUAUAUGCAAUCAAUCCCCGACUUCCGGAAGGGGAGUAUUUAUUAGAUAAAAAACCAGCGCGGCUCGCCGCUCCCUUGGAGAUUCAUAACAGCUUCUCGAAUCGUAUGGCGGUGUGCCGGCGAUGCUACAUUCAUAUAUCUGCCCUAUCAACUUUCAAUGGUAGGAGAGAGACCUACCAAGUCUCCAACGGGGAACGGAGAAUGAGGGUUCGAUUCCGGAGAGGGAGCCUGAUAAACGGCUACCACCUCCUAGGAAGGCAGCAGGCGCGCUAAUUACCCAAUCCCGACUCGAGGAGGUAGUGACCAUAAAUAAUAUUAUAGGGCUCUUUUGGGUCUUACCAUUGCAAUGAGUACGAUUGAAAUCUCUUAACGAUGAUCAAGUGGAGGGCAAGUCUGGUGCCAGCAGCUGUGGCAAUUGUAGCUCCGAUAUCGUAGAUUAUAACUGUUGCAGUUGAGAAUCUCGUAGUUGAUCUUCAGACAUGGUCGGGAUAGGUCCCGUAACGGCGUGUUCUGCGUGCCUGCUACUUACUGCUUGGUGAGCCACCUUGCCCCUUUAUAGGGGGAGAUGGGGGAACCAGGACUUUUUCCUUCGAAAAAUUUCAAAUGUCACAACAAGCCGUCGCCCCAAAUAACUUUGCAUGGCAUAAUAAAAUAAAGCACGUGGGGGUCAAUUUUAUAGGUUCCCUUAACCCCCCGAAUAAAUUAAAACGAAACAGUGGGGGGGGUUGGGCAUUGAGGUCGGCUUGGGGAACCUUCUGGGGGUUGACUCAAAACCAAAUCACCGGCAAAAAACUUUCCCCAGGGGGGUUUUUUUUUUAUUACAAAAAACCAACCUUUAAAGGGGAAAAAAAAAAAUUUAUCCAAAAUUUUGUCUUUUA
This 991-nucleotide ribosomal RNA is filed under the name Basidiomycota sp. SAMN02169249. RNAcentral's name for it is "partial 18S ribosomal RNA". It matches the Rfam family "Eukaryotic small subunit ribosomal RNA", at positions 54 to 975 of the family's 1831-position model. Lineage: Eukaryota; Fungi; Basidiomycota. The record is from RNAcentral.